Molecule: long non-coding RNA, 2578 nt
Filed under: Homo sapiens (human)
Lineage: Eukaryota; Metazoa; Chordata; Mammalia; Primates; Hominidae
Description: PREDICTED lncRNA (TCONS_00063908)
Source: RNAcentral
AGUUAUGACACAACACAAUGCCCUCACCAGAAGCAACCAGAGGCAGACCCUCGACCUUGGACUUCCCAGCAUCCAGAACUCAUAAGAUUUACCUUUAUUUUUUAAUAUUGGAGAACUUGCCAUGUAAAUCCUAACAUGUGGAUGAACUAAAUACCUGGGGAGUUCAUCAUCUCUCACAAACUAAAUCCAGAGAAAAAACUUCCUGACACAAGAAAAAACUGCAGUUAAAUGGAAAACAAAUAAAGCAAAUGAAAAUUGGAAUGUGGAGCAUUUUGCAUGCCAGAUAAGAAAGGGCAUGUGACAAAGGAGAGCCAUUUCUUCCAUUUGAGAUUGGAGGGGGAAGAGUCCAAGGCUAGAAUCAUGUGGCUGACCAGGCUCCUGGGACUUCCACAUCUGCACAAUGGAUCAUGCAAAGGUCCGCAGCUUCACUCCUGAGCCAGCAAGACCACGAACCUACCAGAAGGAAGAAACUCCGAACACAUCCCAACAUCAGAAGGAACAAACUCCGGACGCGCCACCUUAAGAGCUGUAACACUCACCGCGAGGGUCCGCGGCUUCAUUCUUGAAGUCAGUGAGACCAAAAACCCACCAAUUCCAGACACACUAUCCUGGGGGAGCAGCCUGGCCCUAAAAGAGACUUGUGCGUGACCCCAGGAGACCCACUGACAUGGAUCAGGAAACUGCUUUAGAAUCCCAGGAACAGGGCUACGACCAAACUCCGUACUCUCCCAUUUGCCUAUCGUAGAAGCACUUCAGUGGGACCAGAGAGAACACUGUGCAUCCCAGGAUUGCAGCCACUGGACUCCAGCAACUCGAGGAAGAGGCAGCCAUUGAUACCAGACCUAGAAUUCACUAAAGGUCAAUGCCUUCAGGAAUUUUCAUCUGAUUUGAUGAUUGAUGCCCUCCCCAUCAUGAGCCCCAGGAAGUCUCCCAUGCCACGUUCCAGCUGAGGCACCCAACAGCAAUGAUGUUUUGUGAAAAUAGUGUGUGAUUUGGAUGCAAAUGAUCCUGGGUUCAAGACUUGCUUCUGUAAAGAAGAGAAUACCACACUCUCCUCUCCCAGUCAUGUGGGGAGUUAAUCGAAACCCACGGAAAGUGCAUUGCAUAAGGUGGGUGUCUGAUAAAUGCCCACACCUUUGGCUUCUCCUCUACUGAUAACUCUUUUUCCCUCAUCUUCCUGAUGUAAAAGGUGAGUGGGAGCCUUUAUGCCUUUCCCUGAAAGUAGAAGCCAGCCUCACCCCAGCCUGUGAGGCUGCUGAACCAGCCUCUUGCCCUUUCCUGCGUUUCUCAGGGCUUCCACCCUCCCCUCAGGCCCUUUCACCUCUCCAUGUCAUCUCUUUAUUCAGUUCUCCACCAAGCCUUCCCCGCUACCUUCAGGAAGCUUUGCAAACUGGCACGAAACCCUAAAUUCACAGUAUAGAGUCUGGAAUGCACUCCCCACUGCUUGGUGAUCCGUCAUACCAUACUGUUUUCUGCUUAUCUUUCUCUAAGACAACCUGUACCCUCAAUCUGGUGCCACUUAACAUGGCAAUAAGAGUGUAGUAAGUAGGGCCACUUCACAUGGUCUCAUUUAUGUAGAUGCUUGUUCUUUCAAGCUUGUCACCCCCAAUUCAGUAUCUACUAUAGAUACAUUGACAGGGCUUGGAAAUUGACCAGAGUAUGGUCUUCCGUGCCUUCAAAUUGCUGUGUGGGGCUUCUGAGAAGACAAACUUUGGAAAUUGCCCCUCUUUUGCAGAGGAUUCAGCGGAACUCAGGAAUAUGCCAGUACCCACCUACCCUGUGAUAGCCAGCCUCUAAAAUAGUCUCCAGCGAUUUCUGGCUUCCAAUACUCACACUCUAAUAUGGUCCCCUCCCACACUGUAUCAGGGUUGGUGUGUAACCAGUAGAGUGCAGGAGGAGUGGUAGAUACCACUCUGGAAGAGAGAUUAUGGAUGUCAUUUGGUCCUGUCUUGCUUUCCCUUGGAUCACUUGCUCUGGUGGAAGCCAGUGGCCAGUCUCAUGGACAGUUGGGCAGCCCAGUGGACGACCUAACAGUUCGACUGCCACUUCAUGGAAGACCCUGAGCCAGAACAAGUUAGUUAAGCUGCUCCCAGAUUCCUGACCCUCAGAAACAGUGUGAAAGACAAAUACCAGACUGACACAUUUUUGGCAAGUUUUUGUGCAGCUAUAGAUAACUAACACAAACUUUCUAUUCCAAAUUGCCACUAUUUACCUCCCCCUGCAGAAAUGUCCACCACUUACAAAGGUAUAGCUGAAGCCCAUCUAAGGUGAGCCAACUUUACUUAUAAUUGAAAACAAAUUAUAUGUACUUUAAAAGUAUUUGAGCACCAUUUUAUUGCCAAACAAUACACCCAACAAAGUCAAACAACCUAACUUCCCUUAACAAGAAUAUCAGGUUUGUCUAUAUUAUGAUUGGAAACAAACAUAAAUUAUAUUUGUUUUCCUAGACAGUCUAAGGUUUCAAUGGGUUGCUGUAAAAGAAUUUGAAGAAAGCUGCACCAACUGGUGUUUUGAAAUUCAAAUACCCUUAGUUUAAGCCACAAUAAAUGAAAUAAAACCAGUACAUGAAAUAAAACCA